RNAcentral lists this ribosomal RNA (1477 nucleotides) under uncultured Bordetella sp. RNAcentral describes it as "partial 16S-23S ribosomal RNA intergenic spacer". It matches the Rfam family "Bacterial small subunit ribosomal RNA". Lineage: Bacteria; Pseudomonadati; Pseudomonadota; Betaproteobacteria; Burkholderiales; Alcaligenaceae. The record is from RNAcentral.
GGUUUGAUUCUGGCUCAGAUUGAACGCUGGCGGGAUGUUUUUACACAUGCAAGUCGAACGGCAGCACGGACUUCGGUCUGGUGGCGAGAGUGGCGAACGGGUGAGUAAUGUAUCGGAACGUGCCUAGUAGCGGGGGAUAACUACGCGAAAGCGUAGCCAUUACCGCAUACGCCUCGGGGAGUGCUGGGGGACCUUUCGGGCCUCGCACUAUUAGGAGCGGCCGAUAUCGGAUUAGCUAGUUGGUGGGGUAACGGCUCACCAAGGCGACGAUCCGUAGCUGGUUUGAGAGGACGACCAGCCACACUGGACUGAGACACGGCCCAGACUCCUACGGGAGGCAGCAGUGGGGGAAUUUUGGACAAUGGGGGAAACUCCUGAUCCAGCCAUCCCGCGUGCGAUGAAGGCCUUCGCUGUAAAGCACUUUUGGCAGGAAAGAAAACGGCACGGGAUAAUACCCCGUGCAACUGACGGUACUCUGCAGAAUAAGCACUGGCUAACUACGUGCCAGCAGCCGCGAAUACGUAGGGUGCAAGCGUUAAUCGGAAUUACCGGGCGUAAAGCGCGCAGGCGGUUCGGAAAGAAAGAUGUGAAAUCCCAGAGCUUAACUUUGGAACUGCAUUUUUAACUACCGAGCUAGAGUGUGUCAGAGGGAGGUGGAAUUCCGCGUGGGUAGCAGUGAAAUGCGUGUAGAUAUGCGGAGGAACACCGAUGGCGAAGGCAGCCUCCUGGGAUAACACUGACGCUCAUGCACGAAAGCGUGGGGAGCAAACAGGAUUAGAUACCCUGGCAGUCCACGCCCUAAACGAUGUCAACUAGCUGUUGGGGCCUUCGGGCCUUUGCAGCGCAGUUAACGCGUGGUUGACCGCCUGGGGAGUACGGUCGCAAGAUUAAAACUCAGCGAAUUGACGGGGACCAUGCAGCAAGGGUGAUGAUGGAUUUAAUUCUGACGCAACAUAAAACCCUUAUCACCCUGACACGUCCAAUAGGAACCCAGCACAUUUGGAGUGGCUGCAGAUAACCGAACCCACAGGGUGCCAUGCUGGCCGUCAUCAGCGGUGAUACCAGUUGAAACCUGCAACGAUGCGGCGCACCCUACGCUGUUCGCUGCCGGUGGCACCUCAUUGAGACCUGCACAUAUUAAAAACCGAGGAAGGCAGGAUGACGCUGGAGUCUGUGGCUCGGUGGUGGCUUCAACGUCGUGCCAAUGAGUCGGGACAGAGGGAUCAGCAACCUGCCGCGAGGGGGAGCCAAUCCCAGAAACCCGAUCGUAGUCCGGAUCGCAGUCUGCAACUCGACUGCGUGAAGUCGGAAUCGCUAGUAAUCGCGGAUCAGCAUGUCGCGGUGAAUACGUUCCCGGGUCUUGUACACCGCCCGUCACACCAUGGGAGUGGGUUUUACCAGAAGUAGUUAGCCUAACCGUAAGGAGGGCGAUUACCACGGUAGGAUUCAUGACUGGGGUGAAGUCGUAACAAGGUAA